AUGCAUGGCGUUCCAUCGGCAAGGGUCAUACGGAUGGGCUAGUCGUUAAUGUGAACUAGUGGACAUAAAGCGUGAGUAUGCGAGGAGGCAAGACCGCAGUGAAACUGCCGAGGUUAACCAAGGUAGUGCAUAGGUGACGGCAUCGAUGGAGUAUGUCAGAGGAGGGUAGAAGUCCACGUGUAGCAGUUGAAUGCGUAUAGAUGUGGAGGAAUACCGAUGGAGAAGGCAGCCCACUGGGCGAAUACUGACGCUCAUGCACGAAAGCGUGGGGAGCAAACAGGAUUAGAUACCCGAGUAGUC
Molecule: ribosomal RNA, 300 nt
Filed under: uncultured Methanosarcina sp.
Lineage: Archaea; Methanobacteriati; Methanobacteriota; Methanomicrobia; Methanosarcinales; Methanosarcinaceae
Description: bacterial SSU rRNA
Rfam family: Bacterial small subunit ribosomal RNA
Source: RNAcentral